This is a regulatory RNA element of Oryctolagus cuniculus (rabbit), 47 nucleotides long. It matches the Rfam family "Histone 3' UTR stem-loop". Rfam says of the family: The mRNAs of metazoan histone genes lack a poly-A tail. 3' end processing occurs at a site between a highly conserved stem-loop (modelled by this family) and a purine rich region around 20 nts downstream (the histone downstream element, or HDE). The stem-loop is bound by a 31 kDa stem-loop binding protein (SLBP - also termed the histone hairpin binding protein, or HBP). NCBI's taxonomy places the organism in Eukaryota, Metazoa, Chordata, Mammalia, Lagomorpha, Leporidae. The record is from Rfam.
CCAAAGGCCCUUCUCAGGGCCACCCAACUUCUCAAAGAAGGAGCUGU